AGUGUAGGCGGUUUGCCAAGUCCGUUGUGAAAUCUCCCGGCUCAACUGGGAGGGUGCGGCGGAAACUGGCAGGCUAGAGUACGGAAUGGGAGAGUGGAAUUCCUGGUGUAGCGGUGAAAUGCGUAGAUAUCAGGAGGAACACCGGUGGUGAAGACGGCUCUCUGGACCGUUACUGACGCUGAGACUCGAAAGCGUGGGGAGCAAACAGGAUUAGAUACCCUGGUAGUCCACGCCCUAAACGAUGCAUACUUGGUGUGGGCUCUUCACUGAGUCCGUGCCGGAGCUAACGCGUUAAGUAUGCCGCCUGGGGAGUACGGUCGCAAGGCUGAA
RNAcentral lists this ribosomal RNA (330 nucleotides) under uncultured bacterium. RNAcentral's name for it is "bacterial SSU rRNA". It matches the Rfam family "Bacterial small subunit ribosomal RNA", at positions 568 to 898 of the family's 1533-position model. The record is from RNAcentral.